RNAcentral lists this ribosomal RNA (492 nucleotides) under uncultured bacterium. RNAcentral's name for it is "partial 16S ribosomal RNA". It matches the Rfam family "Bacterial small subunit ribosomal RNA", at positions 29 to 507 of the family's 1533-position model. The record is from RNAcentral.
AGUGAACGCUGGCGGUAGGCCUAACACAUGCAAGUCGAACGGCAGCACAGUAAGAGCUUGCUCUUACGGGUGGCGAGUGGCGGACGGGUGGGGAAUACAUCGGAAUCUACUUUUUCGUGGGGGAUAACGUAGGGAAACUUACGCUAAUACCGCAUACGACCUACGGGUGAAAGCAGGGGAUCUUCGGACCUUGCGCGAUUGAAUGAGCCGAUGUCGGAUUAGCUAGUUGGCGGGGUAAAGGCCCACCAAGGCGACGAUCCGUAGCUGGUCUGAGAGGAUGAUCAGCCACACUGGAACUGAGACACGGUCCAGACUCCUACGGGAGGCAGCAGUGGGGAAUAUUAGACAAUGGGCGCAAGCCUGAUCCAGCCAUACCGCGUGGGUGAAGAAGGCCUUCGGGUUGUAAAGCCCUUUUGUUGGGAAAGAAAAGCAGCAGGUUAAUACCCCGCUGUUCUGACGGUACCCAAAGAUUAAGCACCGGCUAACUUCGUG